Molecule: long non-coding RNA, 156 nt
Organism: Leopardus geoffroyi (Geoffroy's cat)
Lineage: Eukaryota; Metazoa; Chordata; Mammalia; Carnivora; Felidae
Exons: 3
Source: RefSeq, a predicted model, not a curated record
UGUGGCAAGGAUGUGAGAAAGAGGAUGCACUUUUGCACGGCUGGUGGGUGUGCAAACGUGUGCAGCCCCUCUGGGAAACAGUGUGGAGGUUCCUCAAAAAAUUAAAAAUAGAACUACCCUAGGACCCAGCAAUUGCACUACUAGGUAUUUAUCCAA